GAUGUGUUGGGGUGUUUGAAUGAGGCAGAGAGAGGGUGGAAAUAGAUGUGUUGGGGUGUUUGAAUGAAGCAGAGAGGGGUGGAAUUAGAUGUGUUGGGGUGUUUGAAUGAAGCAGAGAGGGGUGGAAAUAGAUGUGUUGGGGUGUUUAAAUGAUGCAGAGAGAGGGUGAAAAUAGAUGUGUUGGGGUGUUUGAAUGAGGCAGAGAGAGGGUGAAAUUAGAUGUGUUGGGGUGUUUGAAUGAAGCAGAGAGGGGGUGGAAAUAGAUGUACUGGGGUUUUUGAAUGAAGCAGAGAGAGGGUGGAAAUAGAUGUGCUGGGGUGUUUGAAUAAAGCAGAGAGAAGGUGAAAUUAGAUGUGCUGGGGUGUUUGAAUGAAGCAGAGAGAGGGUGAAAUUAGAUGUGCUGGGGUGUUUGAAUGAGGCAGCAGACAGGGGGAAAAUGAUGGGGUAAAAUGAUGUGUUGGGGUGUUUGAAUGAGGCAGCAGACAGGGGGUAAAUGAUG
Oncorhynchus tshawytscha (Chinook salmon) is the source of this 499-nucleotide long non-coding RNA. The record is from Ensembl. NCBI's taxonomy places the organism in Eukaryota, Metazoa, Chordata, Actinopteri, Salmoniformes, Salmonidae.